UACAGAGGGUGCAAGCGUUAAUCGGAAUUACUGGGCGUAAAGCGUGCGUAGACGGUUAUUUAAGUCGGGUGUGAAAGCCCCGGGCUCAACCUGGGAAUUGCAUUCGAGACUGAAUAGCUAGGGUGCGGAAGAGGGAAGCGGAAUUUCCGGUGUAGCGGUGAAAUGCGUAGAUAUCGGAAGGAACACCAGUGGCGAAAGCGGCUUCCUGGUCCAGCACCGACGUUCAGGCACGAAAGCUAGGGGAGCAAACGGG
RNAcentral lists this ribosomal RNA (253 nucleotides) under uncultured bacterium. RNAcentral's name for it is "partial 16S ribosomal RNA". It matches the Rfam family "Bacterial small subunit ribosomal RNA", at positions 524 to 776 of the family's 1533-position model. The record is from RNAcentral.